ACCGAACAGCAUACAUGCCUACUCUGUCUAAAUGCAUAUGGCCAAAAGAUGUUCACUGUGAAACUAUGAUCAACACAGAUGUCAUCUGGAAAUUGCCCCUGGAUACCAUAUCCUGGUACCAAUCUCUAGCAUGAUUUGGAGACCAGAAUACCCAGUCAGUCAUCUGCUACAGAGAAACUGCAGGUGCAGCUGGAGGACUGGGUGGAGGAUGUCAGAGCAGGAGAAAGCAACUUUAUGUCAACCUCCUAAGGCCCUUGAUGUGGAAGGAACAAUCACUUACACACACACAAAUGAUCAUUGUGAUUCCCAACUACAAGGACCUGCGGUGUGGGAAAGGAAGUUCUGCAUGGAAUUUGAAAGCUGGAUUUACAAGAAGGAGUUGUUUGAAGCCUGCAGAAUGCUGAGGUUUGGACACAUUUCUGAGGGGAGUGGCUUCCUGGUACUCAUGUGGCAUGGCAGAGCCGCCAGACAGCUUGCAGACUGGCUCUGUGAGUGUCUUUUGAACACUGCCUAGUUUCAUAUCGCCUCUGAUCUCAGCAUCACCCCCUCACUUAACAGAAAAGAGUCAUAUGUCUAAGCUCAUUAAAAUGCCCACGUUCACAGAGUCUUUUCAGUGUUUGUGGUUUUACGCAACUGAAAGCAGUAAACCUGUUAAGAGAUCCAUAGAUCCAUGGCUAAGGUCAAGCAAUCACUCACAUGAUACUGUCAGGCAAGGUAGAACUGGUGAUUCAAAGGAACUAGGUAUUUCCUAAUUCAACUUGCUAAAGUGCGGAGUCCAAGCAUUAAGGCUAUUUGAUUCCCUUAACAAACUGGGAAUGAGAUAAAAUUGCCUUCUUUGAUCUUGUUGUCAUUUUAUUUCCUUACCUUGAUGAAUAGCUACAACUUCAAUCCCUCCAUUUUGUCUCAGUGUCCUCCAG
Molecule: long non-coding RNA, 917 nt
Filed under: Meriones unguiculatus (Mongolian gerbil)
Lineage: Eukaryota; Metazoa; Chordata; Mammalia; Rodentia; Muridae
Description: lncRNA (ENSMUGG00000014860.1)
Source: RNAcentral